GAUGAAGAACGUAGCAAAAUGCGAUAAGUAGUGUGAAUUGCAGAAUUCAGUGAAUCAUCGAAUCUUUGAACGCACAUUGCGCCCCCUGGCAUUCCGGGGGGCAUGCCUGUCCGAGCGUCAUUUCUGCCCUCCAGCCCGGCUGGGUGUUGGGCGCUGUCCCCCCGGGGACACGCCCCAAAGGCAGUGGCGGCGCCGCGUCGGGUCCUCGAGCGUAUGGGGCUUUGUCACCCGCUCGGGACGGACUCGUCGGCGCUGGUCUUCCUCCAGGCGACCCUUCGGGGCUCGUCUUCCUUCGGUUGACCUCGGAUCAGGUAGGGUUACCCGCUGAACUUAAGCAUAUCAAUAAGCGGAGGA
Molecule: unclassified non-coding RNA, 354 nt
Filed under: soil metagenome
Description: partial contains 5.8S ribosomal RNA, internal transcribed spacer 2, and large subunit ribosomal RNA
Rfam family: 5.8S ribosomal RNA (bases 1-120)
Source: RNAcentral